RNAcentral lists this transfer RNA (74 nucleotides) under Saccharolobus sp. A20. Its description in RNAcentral is "Sulfolobus sp. A20 tRNA-Met". It matches the Rfam family "tRNA". From Rfam's summary of the family: Transfer RNA (tRNA) molecules are approximately 80 nucleotides in length. The record is from RNAcentral. RNAcentral also lists the same sequence under 11 other names. Lineage: Archaea; Thermoproteati; Thermoproteota; Thermoprotei; Sulfolobales; Sulfolobaceae.
GGGCCCGUAGCUCAGCUAGGUAGAGCGCUCGGCUCAUAACCGAGUGGUCCGGGGUUCAAGUCCCCGCGGGCCCA